This 253-nucleotide ribosomal RNA is filed under the name uncultured bacterium. Its description in RNAcentral is "partial 16S ribosomal RNA". It matches the Rfam family "Bacterial small subunit ribosomal RNA", at positions 524 to 776 of the family's 1533-position model. The record is from RNAcentral.
UACGUAGGGUGCAAGCAUUAAUCGGAAUUAUUGGGCGUAAAGCGCGCGUAGGCGGAUUUGUAAGUCAGGGGUGAAAUCCCGGGGCUCAACCUCGGAACUGCCUUUGAUACUGCAAGUCUCGAGUCCGGAAGAGGUGAGUGGAAUUCCUAGUGUAGAGGUGAAAUUCGUAGAUAUUAGGAAGAACACCAGUGGCGAAGGCGGCUCACUGGUCCGGUACUGACGCUGAGGUGCGAAAGCGUGGGGAGCAAACAGG